RNAcentral lists this long non-coding RNA (790 nucleotides) under Brassica rapa (field mustard). RNAcentral's name for it is "long non-coding RNA (BRAP_LNC003769)". Lineage: Eukaryota; Viridiplantae; Streptophyta; Magnoliopsida; Brassicales; Brassicaceae. The record is from RNAcentral.
UAGAUUUUGACCCGCGCUUUCAAAGCGCGGAUUUAUUUUUGUUUUUUUUUUCAAUUGACAAAUAUUUAGUAAAUGUCACAUUUUCAUAUAUUUGUGUUUUAUUUUGUAAAAGACUUAAAAAUUUUAUCUUUAUUUAUCGUAUUGCAUUUUAAAUGACUAUUUAUGUUAAAAAAAUUAAAUUUUAUUUUUUAAUGAAUUAAGUUGGUAUAACUCUGAUAAAUUAAUUUUAUUAUGGGGUUAAUAUUUUAAUUAAAAAAUUAUAUACUUUUAAUAAAGAUUUAUACUUUUCAAUAAAAUAAUUCAAUUAUUUUUAUGAAUGCUUAAAUUAUAUUAAGAAAAAAAAAAUAAUUAAGAAUAGUUGAAAAAAAUUAUUUGAACUUAGACUCAAUGACCCAAAAGAAAAAAAAAAUGAGAAUUGAAUCUGAUUUUUUAAUAGGCUCAAAUGGCCCAAGAGAGAUUUGAUUUGGGCUGGAUCCAAAAAUAAUGACCCAAUAUAAAUUUGUUAUUAAUAUUACUUAAUUGCCCUUAAUGAAACAUGCAAUGUUAGUGAAAGAAACAUGCCCCUAAGGUAAUUAUGACAAUAGGAUCCUGCUUUAAUAGUAUAGAUAUAAAGGGUUAGGGCCAAUCCACUAAUUGCCAAUUGGUUUUGAGUUGGAAGCCCAUAAUAAACCCAAAUCUAACAAAAACAUAAUCAAGAAGACGUCAAGCAAAAGAUAACAAAAACAGUUGUUCUUUCCCACUCAUUGUCACAUGAGUUUUCUCAUGCAUGCAGAGACCUUGCAUGUACAGC